Molecule: transfer RNA, 92 nt
Filed under: Pseudomonadota bacterium
Lineage: Bacteria; Pseudomonadati; Pseudomonadota
Also listed under: 1 other name
Description: tRNA-Ser
Rfam family: tRNA
About the family: Transfer RNA (tRNA) molecules are approximately 80 nucleotides in length. Their secondary structure includes four short double-helical elements and three loops (D, anti-codon, and T loops).
Source: RNAcentral
GGAAGGGUGGCUGAGCGGUUGAAAGCGGCGGUCUCGAAAACCGUUGUCCCGCAAUCGCGGGACCGGGGGUUCGAAUCCCCCCCCUUCCGCCA